Molecule: ribosomal RNA, 445 nt
Filed under: uncultured bacterium
Lineage: Bacteria
Description: partial 16S ribosomal RNA
Rfam family: Bacterial small subunit ribosomal RNA
Source: RNAcentral
CUAGACUCCUACGGGAGGCAGCAGUGGGGGAUAUUGCACAAUGGGGGAAACCCUGAUGCAGCGACGCCGCGUGGGUGAAGAAGCGCCUCGGCGCGUAAAGCCCUGUCAGCAGGGAAGAAAAUGACGGUACCUGAAGAAGAAGCCCCGGCUAACUACGUGCCAGCAGCCGCGGUAAUACGUAGGGGGCAAGCGUUAUCCGGAUUUACUGGGUGUAAAGGGGGCGCAGACGGCGAUGCAAGCCAGGAGUGAAAGCCCGGGGCUUAACCCCGCGGAUUGCUUUUGGAACUGUCUGGCUGGAGUGCAGGAGGGGCAGGCGGAAUUCCUGGUGUAGCGGUGAAAUGCGUAGAUAUCAGGAGGAACACCGGUGGCGAAGGCGGCCUGCUGGACUGUAACUGACACUGAGGCUCGAAAGCGUGGGGAGCAAACAGGAUUAGAUACCCCUGUA